Molecule: unclassified non-coding RNA, 310 nt
Filed under: plant metagenome
Description: partial contains 5.8S ribosomal RNA, internal transcribed spacer 2, and large subunit ribosomal RNA
Rfam family: 5.8S ribosomal RNA (bases 1-105)
Source: RNAcentral
GAAAUGCGAUAAGUAGUGUGAAUUGCAGAAUUCAGUGAAUCAUCGAAUCUUUGAACGCACAUUGCGCCCCUUGGUAUUCCAUGGGGCUUGCCUGUUCGAGCGUCAUUUGUACCCUCAAGCUCUGCUUGGUGUUGGGUGUUUGUCCCCGUCUCCGCGCGUGGACUCGCCCCAAAGUGAUUGGCAGCCGGCGUACUGGUCCCGGAGCGCAGCACAUGUCGCGCAAACGAGUGCCUUGGUACGGCGGCGUCCAUAAGCCCCUCUCUCACGCUCUUGACCUCGGAUCAGGUAGGGAUACCCGCUGAGCUUAAGC